This 310-nucleotide long non-coding RNA is filed under the name Cricetulus griseus (Chinese hamster). RNAcentral's name for it is "lncRNA (ENSCGRG00015030770.1)". Lineage: Eukaryota; Metazoa; Chordata; Mammalia; Rodentia; Cricetidae. The record is from RNAcentral.
GGCUUGGCGCGCACUAAUGGCGGCGGUCUCUUCCCUGCCGCCCGCCCCGCUGCUUGUUGCCUCCUUAGGAGGCACGGAAAAUGCCAGGAGCUAGUUGUUAGUGCCUGGAGUCAGCUUGAGAUUGGGCCUCCCCUACCAACCAUUCCCCACCCAGGUAAAAGCAAUUUGGGAUUCUUUUGAAGACCUACUGAGUGGCGCUUCAGAGAUCCUGUGCUUUGGAGCCUAUCCUGGCACUCGCUCUGGAGACUAGGCUGGCCUGGAACUCACAGAGAUCUGCCUGCCUCUGCCUCCGAAGUGCCCGGACCCUGUC